This 506-nucleotide ribosomal RNA is filed under the name uncultured bacterium. RNAcentral describes it as "partial 16S ribosomal RNA". It matches the Rfam family "Bacterial small subunit ribosomal RNA", at positions 29 to 523 of the family's 1533-position model. The record is from RNAcentral.
AGUGAACGCUGGCGGUAGGCCUAACACAUGCAAGUCGAACGGCAGCACAGGAGAGCUUGCUCUCUGGGUGGCGAGUGGCGGACGGGUGAGGAAUACAUCGGAAUCUACUCUGUCGUGGGGGAUAACGUAGGGAAACUUACGCUAAUACCGCAUACGACCUACGGGUGAAAGCAGGGGACCUUCGGGCCUUGCGCGAUUGAAUGAGCCGAUGUCGGAUUAGCUAGUUGGCGGGGUAAAGGCCCACCAAGGCGACGAUCCGUAGCUGGUCUGAGAGGAUGAUCAGCCACACUGGAACUGAGACACCGUCCAGACUCCUACGGGAGGCAGCAGUGGGGAAUAUUGGACAAUGGGCGCAAGCCUGAUCCAGCCAUACCGCGUGGGUGAAGAAAGCCUUCGGGUUGUAAAGCCCUUUUGUUGGGAAGGAAAUCCAGCUGGCUAAUACCCGGUUGGGAUGACGGUACCCAAAGAAUAAGCACCGGCUAACUUCGUGCCAGCCGCCGCCGUAA